Long non-coding RNA from Neopsephotus bourkii (Bourke's parrot), 621 nucleotides. RefSeq lists it as uncharacterized. Lineage: Eukaryota; Metazoa; Chordata; Aves; Psittaciformes; Psittacidae. The transcript has 3 exons. The record is from RefSeq and is a predicted model, not a curated record.
GCACUUUUCUGUGUCUGUUGUCUCCCACCUCUCCCCAUUUAAAAAGUCCAAAGCAAGACGACUUCAGUAGGGCCAGAAACUGCUCCUUCUGAAUGGCACACUUCAUGCUCCCCAGAAUACAGCUGUAGCUUACUUAGCAGCUGAGUGUCUCUGUCAGCUCUGCAGUUCUGCAUCCACUGUUUAAAUAUGAGCCUGACCCAGCUCCCAAACACAACACCAAUAAACUUCACAGACCAAAGGAGCUGUAUCAGGCGCUUCCAUCAGCUGUCACAUUGCCAAGCAACAACAUCGCAGCACCUUGUAUAUUGCCACUUUAUUAAAGACAAGUGAAAGGCAGCUUCCUCUUGCGACUCCAGAUAAUGAUGAUCUUCAGAACCACUGUGAAUUAAAACCUACCACAGCCCUUUUUCUUCAUGGGGAUGGUAACAGAUACAAUGAGCUACCCUGGGUAAGUGAAACUCAUUCCCUAAGAGUCACCUGUGCUCACCUCUGAGGUUACAGGGCUGGGUUCAGCACGUGUGAGUUUUGGCUGUUAUAGAUACAGGUGGGUUUGUAUUUGGUUACUAUGCAUACAGGUGGGUUUGUAUUCGGUCAUUAUUGAUAGAGGUGGGUUUGUAUUUA